GAAAAUAUUAGCAACCAAAUGUACUCUAAAAGAAAAACUAACAUAUUUAAAAUGCUCCAAUGAACCUCUUACAUGUGGAAGGGGUAUGCCUUAAAAUCAUCGACUCUGUUGUAAGAACCGUGCGAGUUGGGUCGGAUUGAAUACACCGGGAAUAGGGGCUCCAUCUAACUUCAACAAAUGGGAAACUUCUACGCAUCUUUGGUAACUCUAUUCUUCGUUCUCGACUUUCUUUGUGGCUCACUUCCCAAUUUUUUGACUCGAAGAUGGCUUCUGAUUUGUUAAUGUGGCUAAUAGAGGCACAACUUCGGCUCGAGCUGAAUUGUUAUAAACUCGUGAGAUAAAAUGAUAAAUACCCAGCUAAGAAGGUAUUAUUGAAAGUCAAC
This 383-nucleotide long non-coding RNA is filed under the name Olea europaea (common olive). RNAcentral's name for it is "long non-coding RNA (OEUR_LNC001433)". Lineage: Eukaryota; Viridiplantae; Streptophyta; Magnoliopsida; Lamiales; Oleaceae. The record is from RNAcentral.